UAAUACCGCAUACGCUCUACGGAGGAAAGGGGGGGAUCGCAAGACCUCUCGCUCAAGGGGCGGCCGAUGGCAGAUUAGCUAGUUGGUGGGGUAAAGGCCUACCAAGGCGACGAUCUGUAGCUGGUCUGAGAGGACGACCAGCCACACUGGGACUGAGACACGGCCCAGACUCCUACGGGAGGCAGCAGUGGGGAAUUUUGGACAAUGGGCGCAAGCCUGAUCCAGCAAUGCCGCGUGUGUGAAGAAGGCCUUCGGGUUGUAAAGCACUUUUGUCCGGAAAGAAAACUUCCUGGUUAAUACCUGGGGAGGAUGACGGUACCGGAAGAAUAAGCACCGGCUAACUACGUGCCAGCAGCCGCGGUAAUACGUAGGGUGCGAGCGUUAAUCGGAAUUACUGGGCGUAAAGCGUGCGCAGGCGGUCUGUUAAGACAGAUGUGAAAUCCCCGGGCUUAACCUGGGAACUGCAUUUGUGACUG
This 476-nucleotide ribosomal RNA is filed under the name uncultured Burkholderia sp. Its description in RNAcentral is "bacterial SSU rRNA". It matches the Rfam family "Bacterial small subunit ribosomal RNA", at positions 164 to 635 of the family's 1533-position model. The record is from RNAcentral. Lineage: Bacteria; Pseudomonadati; Pseudomonadota; Betaproteobacteria; Burkholderiales; Burkholderiaceae.